This 497-nucleotide ribosomal RNA is filed under the name uncultured bacterium. RNAcentral's name for it is "partial 16S ribosomal RNA". It matches the Rfam family "Bacterial small subunit ribosomal RNA", at positions 28 to 507 of the family's 1533-position model. The record is from RNAcentral.
GAUGAACGCUGGCGGCGUGCCUAAUACAUGAAAGUCGAGCGAACAGACGAGGAGCUUGCUCCUCUGACGUUAGCGGCGGACGGGUGAGUAACACGUGGAUAACCUACCUAUAAGACUGGGAUAACUUCGGGAAACCGGAGCUAAUACCGGAUAAUAUAUUGAACCGCAUGGUUCAAUAGUGAACGACGGUUUUGCUGUCACUUAUAGAUGGAUCCGCGCCGCAUUAGCUAGUUGGUAAGGUAACGGCUUACCAAGGCGACGAUGCGUAGCCGACCUGAGAGGGUAAUCAGCCACACUGGAACUGAGAACCGGUCCAGACUCAUACAGGAGGCAGCCAUAGGGAAUCUUACGCAAUGAGCGAAAGCGUGACGGAGCCACGCCGCGUGGGUGUUAAAGGUCUUCGGAUCGAAAAACUCUGUUAUUAGGGAUGAACAAAUGUGUAAGUAACUAUGCACGUCUUGACUGUACCUGAUCAGAAAGCCACGGCUAACUACGUG